RNAcentral lists this long non-coding RNA (2642 nucleotides) under Coturnix japonica (Japanese quail). RNAcentral's name for it is "lncRNA (ENSCJPG00005013613.1)". The record is from RNAcentral. Lineage: Eukaryota; Metazoa; Chordata; Aves; Galliformes; Phasianidae.
AGGUAACAAAACCCUGCCCAUGAAAAUUACCCAUCUCCUGCCCCCUGUGCCUUAUAUAAAGGGGCUGGAGGUGUGGCCGCACUGUGGUCUGGGGGCGUGGCUUCGGGUGGGCAUGGCAGCAUCACCCCCAGGACAUCCCAUCCACGUUCCUAUGCCCCAUCCAAGGAGCGCUCCCCCAUGUCCUACCACCAGCAGCCUGGUAACAGCCCGGCAGUGAGAGCCCAGCACCCCUGGGUGCCUGCAUCCCACCCGCACCACUGGUGGUGCCUCCAGUGUGUUGGCACCCUGCAGUGUGACAGCCCCAGCAGGGUGCCGUGCCCUGGCCGUGCCCCAGCACACCCGCAGGACACUGUGUUCUGGCCCACCGCCUUUGAGGGGCCUCAUCCCUGACCCCAGGAACAAGGAAGCAGCUCUGAUUGCAGGCAGCACUGGGCUGUGACACGCACUGGGCUGUGACACGUGCUGGGGAAGUGAUGCUGCAAGGACAGCCCAGGAGAUGAGUCCUCAGCCCAGAGCACGCCCUUCCUGGCUCUGCCUCCUUGCUCACAGGGUGGGCUGCAGUCUCUGAGGGCCUCAGUGCUGGCAGCUGCAUAAUAUCACCCCUUCCUCAGAGUGCAAGGGGGUCCCAGGCUGCCCACAGGGCUUUUUCCAUUGGCAUUGACCUUGCUCUGCACAAGUCUCUGGCUGUGGGGACUCUGCUUGUGGCUGCUCUGGGACCACCGUGCAGCUGAUGGCCGCCGGGCACUGUGCCCAUCCCUGGGAGCACCCGUGCUGGGUGAGAGCCCUUCUGGCAGUGCCAGCACCUGGGAAAUAAAGGGACACACCUGGAUGCUCAUCCUCUGCAAGGAGAAGGCGACGCGGAAACCACAGUGCCGGGGCUGUGGGGAGAGCUCAGAGCGGUGCCCACCAGGAGGCAUUGGCUCCUGCCAGCCCGGACAUGGCUACACGUAGGGGAGGGCUGUCCCUGUUCCUGCUGCUGGGCCUUGCUGGGUCAAAGCUGGCACUGGGGAGCAUAGACGCGGAUUCGACAGUGCCAAAAUCCACAAAGCCUCCGGUGUCGCUGCUCAGCACCGCAGCCCCCACUCCUCCCUCCAGCCCGGACACAGAAGCCCCCACCCCAGUGAAGCCCAGCACAGCCCCAGGGACCAGCAAUGCUCCCGCAACUUCAGCACACACAGCUGCACCACCUGAGCCCUCUACAGUCGUGGUAGACACCGCCACCUCCAUCACCAACACAGUGGUCCUCAGGAGCACCCCCAGUCCCAGCCCACCCCCGGGGAACACCACUGGAACCAGCACUGGUGUCUCCACUGUGAUCACAGGAACACCUGCAGACACCUCGAUGGCACCGCAGAGCUCCAGUGCCACCCCAGGCACGAAGCCCUCCUCCCCUGCCACCACCUCAUCACAGAGCCUGGAUGGAACCAUCAGCACCUCUUCAGAGCUGCCACCAACCUGCCCCAGCACCCCAAAUGAUGCCAUUGCAUCCCAGCUCUUCCUCUCCUUGCGUCUCACCACUCCUCUGGACAUGGGAAACACCACGGUGCAGGAGCUGCUCCUGGCCAAGCUCCGCAGGGACCUGCAGGCUGCCUUCCCACAUGCUGGGCUCCUCCUGUACUGGAGAGGGGGGAAGCUGAUCUGAGCCAGUCACCGAGGGAUGCUGGGCAGUACUGAGCCAUCCCGCACCUCCUGUCCUUGUCCCUCUGGAUAACCCACACAGCCCCAUCUGCUUCCCUGCACCCCAGUACCCUUCUGUGUCCCGUUCUCUACCCCUUCCCACAGCCACUCUGCAGCCCCAUUGCACUGAUGGUAAAGAAGGAGCCCUGCAGCCCCCCCACCCUGCCCCGUUAUCACCAUGCAGCAGUGGCCCUGUUGGAAGCCAGGGUACUGCAAGGGGUCCCAUCAGCCCCCAACCCCCCAUGAGCUGUGUGUGCCGUGGGGCCAUGGAAAUCCCGUGGGCUGAGCUCCUUCCCUGUUUUUUUCCAGUCCCUGGUUGAGGAGACGGCUGCAGUGUCUGCCUCCCCUGCAGCAAAGUCAUUUAUUAACUGAUUAAUUAGCCAGAUAAAAUGAGAGCGAAGCAAUUAUUACCCUAAGCAAGUCACCUAGCAUGGGAGAUUAAAAAGUGGAAUAAUGUGCAAAAAUGUCAGUGUUGUAUAUGGGGGAGUGAUCCCUUCCUGCAACCCCGUCCUGCUGGAGCCAUGUCCCACCUGGGGAAGGGACAUCUGGGGCUGUGGAAUCCAACCUGGGGACCAUUCCCAGGCACUGGGUUUGUCACCCUGCAGCCAGGAAGGAUGAGCAAAGACACCUUGUUGUCACACGCACCCAUUUUCCUACCGGGAAAGGCAGUGCACAUCUCCUACACAUCCCAGGAUUGCUUCCAUGUACUGUAGGAUGCUGCCUGUCUGUCUUGAUGGGGGGUUUGUGGGUCCUACUGGGAGAUAUAGGGGUCUGUGAGGUCCUAAGGGGGUCCUGGAGGUGGAUAUGGAGGUCAUAUGGAGGAUUUAUGAUGGUGUCUGGGGAUUCUGGGGAGGGAUAUGAGGGCUCUGUGAGGUCCUAGCAUGGCUAUGGGGUAGAUCUGUGGGGUUCUAAGGGGGUCAUCUGCAGACUAUGGGGCUCUGUGCAGGGCUUGAGCAGUUGACACA